UACAGAGGUGGCAAGCGUUGUUCGGAAUUACUGGGCGUAAAGGGCGCGUAGGCGGUUCGUUAAGUCCUGGGUGAAAUCCCCCGGCUCAACUGGGGAACUGCACAGGAAACUAGCGGGCUUGAGUUCGGGAGAGGGAAGCGGAAUUCCGGGUGUAGAGGUGAAAUGCGUAGAUAUCCGGAGGAACACCGGUGGCGAAGGCGGCUUCCUGGACCGACACUGACGCUGAGGCGCGAAAGCUAGGGGAGCAAACGGG
This 253-nucleotide ribosomal RNA is filed under the name uncultured bacterium. RNAcentral's name for it is "partial 16S ribosomal RNA". It matches the Rfam family "Bacterial small subunit ribosomal RNA", at positions 524 to 776 of the family's 1533-position model. The record is from RNAcentral.